This 73-nucleotide transfer RNA is filed under the name Stegodyphus mimosarum. It matches the Rfam family "tRNA". From Rfam's summary of the family: Transfer RNA (tRNA) molecules are approximately 80 nucleotides in length. Their secondary structure includes four short double-helical elements and three loops (D, anti-codon, and T loops). Further hydrogen bonds mediate the characteristic L-shaped molecular structure. tRNAs have two regions of fundamental functional importance: the anti-codon, which is responsible for specific mRNA codon recognition, and the 3' end, to which the tRNAs corresponding amino acid is attached (by aminoacyl-tRNA synthetases). tRNAs cope with the degeneracy of the genetic code in two manners: having more than one tRNA (with a specific anti-codon) for a particular amino acid; and 'wobble' base-pairing, i.e. permitting non-standard base-pairing at the 3rd anti-codon position. Lineage: Eukaryota; Metazoa; Arthropoda; Arachnida; Araneae; Eresidae. The record is from Rfam by way of RNAcentral.
GCCUUCUUAGUGUAAUGGUUAACACACUCGACACGUAUUCGACAGGUCCGUGGUUCGAUUCCCGGCAAAGGCG